This 615-nucleotide ribosomal RNA is filed under the name Bacillus subtilis. RNAcentral's name for it is "bacterial SSU rRNA". It matches the Rfam family "Bacterial small subunit ribosomal RNA", at positions 87 to 682 of the family's 1533-position model. Lineage: Bacteria; Bacillati; Bacillota; Bacilli; Caryophanales; Bacillaceae. The record is from RNAcentral.
UGAUGUUAGCGGCGGAGGGGUGAGUAACACGCUGGGUAACCUGCCUGUAAGACUGGGAUAACUCCGAGGAAACCGGGUCUAAUACCGGAUGGUUGUUUGAACCGCAAGGUUCAAACAUAAAAGGUGGCUUCGGCUACCACUUACAGAUGAGCCCACGGCGCAUUAGCUGGUUGUGUGAUGUGACGGCUCACCGAGGCAACGAUACCUAGCCGACGUGACAGGGUGAUCGGCCAGUCUGAGACUGAGACGCGGCCCAUACUCCUACUAGAGGAAGCACUAGUGCAAUCUUCCCCAAGGGAGAAAAAUGUCACGGAACAACCCCCCGAGGGUAGUGGAAGUUUUCCGAUCUUAAAGCUCUGUUGUGAAGGAAGAACAAAUAUCCCUUCGAAUAGGGCGGUACCUUGGCGGUACCUAACCAGAAAGCCACGGCUAACUACGUGCCAGCAGCCGCGGUAAUACGUAGGUGGCAAGCGUUGUCCGGAAUUAUUGGGCGUAAAGGGCUCGCAGGCGGUUUCUUAAGUCUGAUGUGAAAGCCCCCGGCUCACCCGGGGAGGGUCAUUGAGAACUGGGGAACUUGAGUGCAGAAGAGGAGAGUUGAAUUUCCCGUGUAGCGGU